UCUGAUUGGCUAUAAAUUCCCUCGUUGGUCCGAAUCCGACCAACCAUGUCAUAGUAUUUCAAAAUAGCCAAUGACUAUGUUUCAUUCUGUUUUUCUUGCAAAAUUGUAAUUGGUCAAUGAAUUCGGUCGACUGAGUUUUGCAAAGUGGAGUUACAAGCAAAUGUUGCUUUGAAAGUUUCAGGUUCGCUUGUUGUAAUUGCUUUUAUUCACAAUGCAAAGUGUGCUGUUACUUAUAAACGGAAAAAAUGUCUCCGUCCCGUUUCUUGUCAUUAUGAAUCCCAAAGACAAAAAUUUAGUUUUGAAGAAAUGUGCAUCCACAAACGAAUUAGGACUUCUUAACUCAACAAACUUAAAUUUACGUGAAGCCAAGUCUUACGCUGGAGCAAUGGUGGACACCAAACUUUACGAUUCGACUCCAAAUCAGCGAUAUCAGAAUACGAAAGAAAACUCUUUAGAGUUAUUUUGCAAAGAUUACGAUUUACAAAGAACGGAUAAGAACGCUAUAGCUACGAAGGAUGCUGUCACUGAUGAAAUUUACUACAUAAAUGAAGAGUUUUUGGUCCAGAAAGGUAAAUCAUAUACAGCGAAUGACAUUGCUUGGACCUGGAAGAAAGACUGCAGAAUGUGGAUGUGGAAGAACAAUGUGGAUUUUAAGAAGAAUCGCUCAGUAGCAGAAAUGAGAAAAUCAGCAGCCUAGAAUUUCCCAUUUUUUAUUCAACUUUUUUAAUGAAAUAUAAUUUUAACUUUUAUAACAAAAUAACAUUUACUGACACGUUUCUACAUAUUCUAGAGGUUGAUCAGCAACUUCACUGGUGUUUUCACCACACUCAAAUCUUUUAAAAUCAACUAUGUCUAUUUCAUGUUCAUCUAAUAUUUCUUUCACUGUUACAUUAUCAUCUAAUAAAAAUUCUUGAUGAAUUAAACAAGUUUCUUCUUCUUUAUCUUUUGCAGGCUUAUCAGACAACGUCCCAAUCUUUUUAGGAUUCAUUCCUACAAUAUGCUGACACAAUUCUUUACCAACUUUGUCUAAAUCUAUUUCUUUGGAAGCUAAUUGUUUUAGGGCUACUAUUGCUCCAAUUUUUCCUAAUGAAACCGAACUACCACUACCUGAAGGGUGCACAUAUCCUGAUAAGUGAACAUCUUUAUGAGCUUUGACCCCUAGGGCUCUUCUUAAAGAUGCAUUUUCACCAACUGUUCCAAUCAUCAAUGCUAAGUGGUCUGCUAGGCUUUUACCAUCUUGUGUAGGGAGGGUUUUUAAUUGAG
Molecule: long non-coding RNA, 1263 nt
Organism: Zophobas morio
Lineage: Eukaryota; Metazoa; Arthropoda; Insecta; Coleoptera; Tenebrionidae
Exons: 2
Source: RefSeq, a predicted model, not a curated record